CCCCCCCCACCCUCAAUUCACCUUUACAGGGUAUAGCUGCAGCUGAGGAGACAGAGAAACUCUGUUGUUAUAAAACAAGCCACCGAUCUGCACACAUCGGCAAAAUGACAUGGCAUUGAUGCAUGUAAGAUGUUGGACAUAGAAUGCCAUGCAUUGAGAGACCAGACACACACACACACACAUACACGUGAAGGGUUGAAGCAUGUUUACAUCUUUAGGUCAAUGCCAAUACACUGACUUGAAAUGUAACAAUAUUUCAAACUUGAAAUUAACAUUAAAACUAUUUUUUUUGUUUCACAUCUGAUCACAGAACUCCAUGCAACCUGGUAGAUAGUAAUGCUAUGAGGAAACAAGAAACAAUGAAUUGCUAUUUUUGUUUUAACAUUUACUCAUUUCAAAUUAUAUUUCCGACGGAUUUAUGUUAUUAGCACCUAAUCUCUUAGUGAUGUUCUGUGUAUGGACUGAUGUUCUGUGUAUGGACUGAUGUUCUGAUGUUCUGUGUAUGUUCUGAGGCGGUUUCAGAUCAAAAUCAAAAGGAGUGACGUACUGAACGUAACAAAAGAUUACAAAUCACAUCAUUUCAGAUUUUUCAAUCAAUCAAUCGAAUAAAAUAAUAAGUUAAAUAAAUAAAUAACCGGCUAAGAUAUUAAAGGCUUGAUGGAGUAUUACCAAGUUCGACAUUCAGCGCUGCAUGAGACAUCCUGUUUGACCACCGUGACUCCAACCCAAAUCUGUGUCACACCACUGUUCUAUAUUAUGGCACUGCGUCACACUCCCUCUGAAGGUGAAAUCAACUGAACAGAGUUGGUCCUUCCAAAUUGACAAAGUACUAAUUGAUUGUACGGACCAUUACGCUCUGGUUAUCAUUGAGCUAAACCGGUGCCAGUCUAGGCAAGUCUCAGUAGCAUUCUGUUGUUGUCUGUCCAAUCAGCCUGCUAAUGCUAAUUAGCCUGCUAAUGCUAAUCAGCCUGCUAAUGCUAAUUAGCGUGGUAAUGCUAAUUAGCGUGCUAAUGCUAAUUAUCAUGCUAAUAAGUUAAAGAGCAAAAACAAUGCAUUUGCAGCUGCAGAAACUACACCAAAGAACUGAAAAGGCAGUUUAAAAUGGUGGAGAAGGGUGGAGGGAUUAGUGUCUAACAUCAGAUCUGACAAUCAAGGGUGGGGCUUAAGGGGUCAUGGGCAAUGACCUCAGAACAAGGGUGGAGCUUAAGGGAUCAUGGGCAAUGACCUCAGAACAAGGGUGGAGCUUAAGGGGUCAUGGGCAAUAACCUCAGAAGAACAUAGCCUGACCAGGGUCACUCUUACCUGUGUGAUGUCACAGGUGUGAUGUCACACGUGUGAUGUCAGGUCAGUAUUGCAUAUUCUGCUCCGCUCUUGGUAAAUGGGGUUACAACAAUGCCUUUAGGGGUUGCCAUGGUGACGACUUCAUGGAGGGGACAGGUACAGUACUAUUCUGAACACACGGCAACGAGGUGGGGCAUGGGGCGUGAGCGGGUCGUCAGGGGAAGGGGAGGGUUGCCAUGGUGGCUGUCGCUAUAACGGCUGUUUGUAUUUAGUCAUUCCCAGCUGCCGGUCUGUGACGUCUGAUGGGAGUAAAGGCUUGUGAGGGCUGGGACGAUGUGAGGAGGGGAGAUCUGAGGGGUUGUUACUAUGGCGAUGCCUACUAGGCUAGGCUAAGCUUGAGGGGGUUGUUAUUGUACUGAUCCCACAGAAGCAUGUCAUGGCUGACUUCCUGUCUCCUUCCUGUCUGCCCCACCCAUCAUGGCUGACUCCUUCCUGUCUGCCCCACCCAUCAUGGCUGACUCCUGACUCCUUCCUGUCUGCCCCACCCAUCAUGGCUGACUCCUGACUCCUUCCUGUCUGCCCCACCCAUCAUGGCUGACUCCUGACUACUUCCUGUCUGCCCCACCCAUCAUGGCUGACUCCUGACUCCUUCCUGUCCGCCCCACCCAUCAUGGCCAUGGCUGACUCCUGACUCCUUCCUGUCUGCCCCACCCAUCAUGGCUAUGCUUGCUCUCUACCCCUGUCCUGCUGACAAACAUGAGUGACUUUGUGCAAGAUGGCUGCAGUGCAUAUCCGUGGCUGUUGUGUAACAUCUGGAGGUCAUUGCCAUAGUGAUGAUGACCUCUGAGGCCUAGUUCAGCUUGGUCGUUGGUUGUGUUUGGGGUUUUAGUUUUUGUUGGCGGCUCAGCAGCGCGGUCUGGUGUUUCACGUCUUCCUUUCCCGGGAGGUAGAUGUCUACUUCUCCUCAGGUGAGAUGGUUCUUCCUUCCCGGGAGGUAGAUGUUUACUUCCUCAGGUGAGAUGGUUCUUCCUUCCCGGGAGGUAGAUGUCUACUUUCCUCAGGUGUUUCACGUCUUCCUUCCCGGGAGGUAGAUGUCUACUUCUCCUCAGGUGAGAUGGUUCUUCCUUCCCGGGAGGUAGAUGUUUACUUCCUCAGGUGAGAUGGUUCUUCCUUCCCGGGAGGUAGAUGUCUACUUUCCUCAGGUGAGAUGGUUCUUACCUGAGCAGUGGAGAGGGUGUGGGUCUG
Long non-coding RNA from Clupea harengus (Atlantic herring), 2526 nucleotides. NCBI's taxonomy places the organism in Eukaryota, Metazoa, Chordata, Actinopteri, Clupeiformes, Clupeidae. The record is from Ensembl.